UGAUAGCGUUGAAGCGUGAGGUUGCUGCCGACAGGCAGGUUUUCCGUGGAGCGAAUGUCAAGUUAGGAAACUGGCGACAA
Molecule: non-coding RNA, 80 nt
Organism: Roseburia sp. 499
Lineage: Bacteria; Bacillati; Bacillota; Clostridia; Lachnospirales; Lachnospiraceae
Source: Rfam